GCGCUCGAUGAUGGACCGUGGAUGUUUGACAAGGAUCUGGUUGUCGUUGAGGAUUAUGACCCGGGGAAACGUCUAGAGGACUACGAGUUCAAUGAAAUCCCAGUUUGGGUGAGAGUCUUCAGUCUCCCUUUAGGGAUGAUGAAUGAGGAGGCGGCAGAAGAGAUAGGCAAUCUUAUUGGGCGCUUUGUGGAAGUGGAUGCUGGGGCGGAUGGGAAGGCCAUCGGAAAGUAUAUGAGGGUCAAGGUUAGGAUGAAUAUUGAGAAGCCGAUUAUGAGAGGCUUUACACUAGAGGAGGAGGAGGAUCAGCUGAAUCAGAAACAAAAGAAGAAGAUGAAUAUUGAUGGCACUGGGGAAGAGGAGGAGGAGGAGGGGCUAUGGUGUCGAUUCGAGUAUGAAUUCAUGUCUGACUUCUGCUAUACAUGCGGUAUCAUUGGGCAUGGAGAUAAAGAUUGCUCGAUCAGAUUGGAGAAGGGGGAGAAAGCGCAAUUUGGUAGCUGGUUGAAAGCUAAUGUUGGGAGACGUAGAGCGGGCAGUGAGGAUAGCUAG
Molecule: ribosomal RNA, 546 nt
Filed under: Triticum aestivum (bread wheat)
Lineage: Eukaryota; Viridiplantae; Streptophyta; Magnoliopsida; Poales; Poaceae
Description: partial small subunit ribosomal RNA
Source: RNAcentral